UACGGGGGUGGCGAGCGUUACUCGGAUUCAUUGGGUGUAAAGGGCAGGUAGGUGGCUAUGUAAGUUAGAGGUGAAAUCCUUGGGCUCAACCCAAGAACUGCCUCUAAGACUGCAUGGCUUGAGGCUGAGAGAAGAGAGCGGAAUUCCUGGUGUAAGGGUGAAAUCUGUAGAGAUCAGGAGGAACGCCUGUGGCGAAAGCGGCUCUCUAGUUCAGACCUGACGCUAAGCUGCGAAAGCUAGGGGAG
This 245-nucleotide ribosomal RNA is filed under the name uncultured bacterium. RNAcentral describes it as "partial 16S ribosomal RNA". It matches the Rfam family "Bacterial small subunit ribosomal RNA", at positions 524 to 768 of the family's 1533-position model. The record is from RNAcentral.